AGCAUCCGUCUGGGAAUUUUUCUUCGAAGAUACCCUGUAGCACGAGUUUUUGUAAUUAUAUAUAUGGCUUUGCUUCACCUCUGGGUCAUGAUUGUUCUGUUGACUUACACACCAGAAAUGCACCAUGACCAACCAUAUGGCAAGUGAACUGAGUCCGAGUGUUGCAAUGAUCGGUUGUCUUUUCCUAGAUUUGGGAUCUGCAAAAAGGCCAUUUGCCUAAAAUUCCUGAAAACAGUGCACAAGAUUAUUUUAUCACUACAAGCUCUUAACUUUUUAAGUUAUUAUUUAAGUAUUCUGCUACCUAAAUCUUCCUCUUAUUUCCUUCAAAUGGUAAGAGUUUCUAAAACAGAUGAUAAUUUAACAAGCUCAGCUCUGCUUUUUCUGAGUGGUCCUAAUAUAUAGAGAGAUACUGGGAUUGUUCAGUUCUGUACAGACCAUCCUGUAUUUUAGGUGACACUGAUUAUGGGUUAUAAUCAGGGAAAUUAAUUGUACUUAGUGCUAAAAAUAAACAGUUUUCUUUUUUGAUAA
Molecule: long non-coding RNA, 528 nt
Organism: Propithecus coquereli (Coquerel's sifaka)
Lineage: Eukaryota; Metazoa; Chordata; Mammalia; Primates; Indriidae
Exons: 2
Source: RefSeq, a predicted model, not a curated record